GGGCGCGUAGCUCAGUGGUAGAGCACUGUGUUCACACCGCAGGUGUCGCUGGUUCAAUCCCAGCCGCGCCCACCA
This 75-nucleotide transfer RNA is filed under the name Sphingomonas naphthae. RNAcentral describes it as "tRNA-Val". It matches the Rfam family "tRNA". From Rfam's summary of the family: Transfer RNA (tRNA) molecules are approximately 80 nucleotides in length. The record is from RNAcentral. Lineage: Bacteria; Pseudomonadati; Pseudomonadota; Alphaproteobacteria; Sphingomonadales; Sphingomonadaceae.